GUCGAACGAUGAAGCGGUGCUUGCACCGUGGAUUAGUGGCGAACGGGUGAGUAACACGUGAGUAACCUGCCCUUGACUCUGGGAUAAGCCUGGGAAACUGGGUCUAAUACCGGAUACGACCAUUGCCCGCAUGGGUUGGUGGUGGAAAGCUUUUGUGGUUUUGGAUGGACUCGCGGCCUAUCAGCUUGUUGGUGAGGUAAUGGCUCACCAAGGCGACGACGGGUAGCCGGCCUGAGAGGGUGACCGGCCACACUGGGACUGAGACACGGCCCAGACUCCUACGGGAGGCAGCAGUGGGGAAUAUUGCACAAUGGGCGAAAGCCUGAUGCAGCGACGCCGCGUGAGGGAUGACGGCCUUCGGGUUGUAAACCUCUUUCAGUAGGGAAGAAGCGAAAGUGACGGUACCUGCAGAAGAAGCGCCGGCUAACUACGUGCCAGCA
Molecule: ribosomal RNA, 440 nt
Filed under: soil bacterium S32M1
Lineage: Bacteria
Description: bacterial SSU rRNA
Rfam family: Bacterial small subunit ribosomal RNA
Source: RNAcentral